GCUGGCGUGGCUCAGUUGGUAGAGCAGUGCUUUCGUAAAGCACGGGUCGGUGGUUCGAAUCCACUCGCCAGCU
RNAcentral lists this transfer RNA (73 nucleotides) under Candidatus Omnitrophota bacterium. Its description in RNAcentral is "tRNA-Thr". It matches the Rfam family "tRNA". From Rfam's summary of the family: Transfer RNA (tRNA) molecules are approximately 80 nucleotides in length. Their secondary structure includes four short double-helical elements and three loops (D, anti-codon, and T loops). Lineage: Bacteria; Pseudomonadati; Candidatus Omnitrophota. The record is from RNAcentral.